RNAcentral lists this transfer RNA (72 nucleotides) under Ovis aries (sheep). It matches the Rfam family "tRNA". From Rfam's summary of the family: Transfer RNA (tRNA) molecules are approximately 80 nucleotides in length. Their secondary structure includes four short double-helical elements and three loops (D, anti-codon, and T loops). Further hydrogen bonds mediate the characteristic L-shaped molecular structure. tRNAs have two regions of fundamental functional importance: the anti-codon, which is responsible for specific mRNA codon recognition, and the 3' end, to which the tRNAs corresponding amino acid is attached (by aminoacyl-tRNA synthetases). tRNAs cope with the degeneracy of the genetic code in two manners: having more than one tRNA (with a specific anti-codon) for a particular amino acid; and 'wobble' base-pairing, i.e. permitting non-standard base-pairing at the 3rd anti-codon position. Lineage: Eukaryota; Metazoa; Chordata; Mammalia; Artiodactyla; Bovidae. The record is from Rfam by way of RNAcentral.
UCCCUGGAGGUCCAGUGGUUAGGACUCAGAGCUUUCACUACUGUGGCCUAGGUUUGAUCCCUGGCCAGAGAA